This 1352-nucleotide ribosomal RNA is filed under the name Clostridioides difficile. RNAcentral describes it as "bacterial LSU rRNA". It matches the Rfam family "Bacterial large subunit ribosomal RNA", at positions 1389 to 2723 of the family's 2925-position model. The record is from RNAcentral. Lineage: Bacteria; Bacillati; Bacillota; Clostridia; Peptostreptococcales; Peptostreptococcaceae.
ACCUAUUCCAGAGGCUAGUUUUUAUUUUUUUUUUUUUUUCAAGCAGAAGACGGCAUACGAGAUCAGCCUCGGUCUCGUGGGCUCGGAGAUGUGUAUAAGAGACAGGGAUGACACAGUAGGAUAAGCUAAGCACACUGUUGGUUAUGUGUGCCCAAGCAUUGAGGCAGUCAAAGUAGGCAAAUCCGCUUUGAUAAUGCUGGGAUGUGAUGGGGAGCGAAAUUUAGUAGCGAAGUAGCUGAUUUCACACUGUCAAGAAAAGUCUCUAUCGAGGUUAAAGGUACCCGUACCGCAAACCGACACAGGUGGGUGAGGAGAGUAUCCUAAGGCCAGCGAGAGAACUGUUGUUAAGGAACUCGGCAAAAUGACCCCGUAACUUAGGGAUAAGGGGUGCCACCAUCAGGUGGCCGCAGAGAAUAGGCCCAAGCGACUGUUUACCAAAAACAUAGGUUUCUGCUAAGUCGCAAGACGAUGUAUAGGAGCUGACGCCUGCCCGGUGCUGGAAGGUUAAGGGGAUCUGUUAGAGCAAUCGAAGCAGUGAACUUAAGCCCCAGUAAACGGCGGCCGUAACUAUAACGGUCCUAAGGUAGCGAAAUUCCUUGUCGGGUAAGUUCCGACCCGCACGAAAGGCGUAACGAUUUGGGCACUGUCUCAACAACAGACUCGGUGAAAUUGUAAUUCCGGUGAAGAUGCCGGAUACCUGCGACAGGACGGAAAGACCCCAUGGAGCUUUACUGUAGCUUGACAUUGGGUCUUGGUACUACAUGUACAGGAUAGGUGGGAGGCUUUGAAACCAGGACGCCAGUUUUGGCGGAGCCAUCCUUGGGAUACCACCCUUGUAGUACUGGGACUCUAACCAUAGGCCAUGAAUCUGGUCUUGGGACACUGUCAGGUGGGCAGUUUGACUGGGGCGGUCGCCUCCCAAAAGGUAACGGAGGCGCUCAAAGGUUCUCUCAGUACGGUCGGAAAUCGUACGUAGAGUGUAAAGGCAAAAGAGAGCUUGAUUGCAAGACAUACAGGUCGAGCAAGGAUGAAAAUCGGACUUAGUGAUCCGGUGGUUCUGCGUGGAAGGGCCAUCGCUCAACGGAUAAAAGCUACCCUGGGGAUAACAGGCUUAUCUCCCCCAAGAGUCCACAUCGACGGGGAGGUUUGGCACCUCGAUGUCGGCUCAUCACAUCCUGGGGCUGUAGUAGGUCCCAAGGGUUGGGCUGUUCGCCCAUUAAAGUGGUACGCGAGCUGGGUUCAGAACGUCGUGAGACAGUUCGGUCCCUAUCCGUCGCAGGCGUAGGAAAUUUGAGAAGACCUGUCCUUAGUACGAGAGGACCGGGAUGGACGUACCUCUGGUGUACCAGUUG